Anolis carolinensis (green anole) is the source of this 47-nucleotide non-coding RNA. NCBI's taxonomy places the organism in Eukaryota, Metazoa, Chordata, Lepidosauria, Squamata, Anolidae. The record is from Rfam.
AGAAUGGUUCUUCUAAGAACCAUACCUGUGAAAAAGACAGUAGGGGU